GUAGUUCGUCCCGUUCCUCCGUCUAACCUGUCACUGCUCUGGGAGAAAGACAGGGCUCUUUUCCAGUGGCAGAGCGGAUAUGACGCAGACAGUUUCUUCAUACCCGACCUUCAGUACCAGCUCAGCAUUUACAGUCAACACAAGCUGUACGAGGUAGAAGCUGUUGAACAGAAGGUGUAUGUGGAUGAGUCUAGUUUUGAACCUCACACAAAUUACACAGUGCGUGUGAGAUCGCGGCCAGAUCAAGUGUAUUAUAAAGGCGUGUGGAGUUUGUGGACCCCUGCGUUACACUGGAAAUCAGGGGACAUUCACAAAGAGACUCCAGGAGGAUCUUUCCCUAUUGCCCGGUAUCUUCUGUUAGUGCCAUUGCCGCUGGUCCUUCUGUUCUGUAUCCCAUACUCCAGAUGGAGGAAGAAUGAUUAUAUACCUUCACCAGCCCCUUAUUUCAGAGACUGGGAUGUAGAUGUUCAGAUCCGUUCAACGCUGUCAGGUAAGAUGAGAGAUGUAAUGCAGGGGGAGGAGUCUUUCAAGAUUGACAUUCUGACAGAGAGCACAGACACGCCCCCUCAACCCUCCACCUUAGACUUUGAGAAUAUGGGAGAGAUCGACGAGAAUGAGUCUCGCAGCAUGCCGCAGUCUCCUGUGGGUUCAGAGGUCGACUCCGGCUGCUGGAUUCGCGAUUUUACCACAACUGAGAGAGGAAGCAUCACAUGCAGUGAGGACUACUGCACACUCUCCAAUUCACACAUUUAUGCAGUCUAACAUGUGCAUGCACACUACUGUUCAAAAGUUUGGGGUCAAUAGGAUUUUUUUUUUUUUUUUUUUUGGGAUUUUUUUUUUUUUUUUUUUUUUCAAAGAAAUGUAAAAAAAAUAUUUCAAAUAAACUUCCUAUUUACUAAAGAAUCCUGAAAAAAAAUGUA
RNAcentral lists this long non-coding RNA (920 nucleotides) under Sinocyclocheilus anshuiensis. RNAcentral describes it as "lncRNA (ENSSANG00000011115.1)". Lineage: Eukaryota; Metazoa; Chordata; Actinopteri; Cypriniformes; Cyprinidae. The record is from RNAcentral.